CUGGGGUUGGCUCAAUGGCAGAGCGCUCGCCUAGCAUGUGUGAGGCACUGGGUUCAUUCCUCAGUGCCAUAUA
RNAcentral lists this transfer RNA (73 nucleotides) under Marmota monax (woodchuck). Its description in RNAcentral is "tRNA.Ala". The record is from RNAcentral. Lineage: Eukaryota; Metazoa; Chordata; Mammalia; Rodentia; Sciuridae.